Molecule: long non-coding RNA, 661 nt
Organism: Archocentrus centrarchus (flier cichlid)
Lineage: Eukaryota; Metazoa; Chordata; Actinopteri; Cichliformes; Cichlidae
Exons: 4
Source: RefSeq, a predicted model, not a curated record
CACACAUCUACUUACAUCCACCUCUAUCCCUACAUCAGCCCGUCCUCCUGGUUCCUCUCCUCCUGGUUCCUCUCCUCCUGGUUCCUCUCCUCCUGGUUCUUCUCUCCUUCAUGUGUUAAUCUCUGUUGGAUUGUUCUGUGUUGUGGUUCUACUGGUGUUUCUGGUUCUGCUGGUCAGACAGCGUUCUCACAGGAAACCUGGAGAUCAGAGCAAAGCUGCAGGAGAUGAUGUCACAUACAGUGAUGUCAAAGUAUCAGCUCGUCAGCAGCAGCCAGACAAAUGGAGCAGAGAGACUGAUACAGCUGUGGUCUACUCAGCAGUGACAGGUGGAGACGUCAGCUAUGGAGAACCAACCAUCAGAACAAGGAGGCCCAGACUUUAAACCAGAGCCAGACGUCGUCUACUCUUCACUGAAGUAUCCACCAGUCCAACCACUGACGUCCAGCUGCUGCUCUCUGACUGCUCCCCAGCACCUCACAGACCAUCCAUGUGUUACUUCUUUUCCUCCUUUAAUGAGACUGAUACAAGUAAAAAAUUACAUCCUAUAUGUUGCUGGAAUUUUAACAGUGUGUGAAAAUCUAUCUUUCUAUUGAACAGAAUCUAAUGAAAGCUUCCAGCUGCUUUUUGUCCUCAGUGAUCUUCAUAGUUUGGAUUUGUUCCC